RNAcentral lists this ribosomal RNA (552 nucleotides) under uncultured bacterium. Its description in RNAcentral is "bacterial SSU rRNA". It matches the Rfam family "Bacterial small subunit ribosomal RNA", at positions 355 to 895 of the family's 1533-position model. The record is from RNAcentral.
UAGGGAAUCUUCGGCAAUGGACGGAAGUCUGACCGAGCAACGCCGCGUGAGUGAAGAAGGUUUUCGGAUCGUAAAGCUCUGUUGUAAGAGAAGAACGAGUGUGAGAGUGGAAAGUUCACACUGUGACGGUAUCUUACCAGAAAGGGACGGCUAACUACGUGCCAGCAGCCGCGGCGUACAUACGUCCNNCCGGAGCGUUGUCCGGAUUUAUUGGGCGUAAAGCGAGCGCAGGCGGUUAGAUAAGUCUGAAGUUAAAGGCUGUGGCUUAACCAUAGUAGGCUUUGGAAACUGUUUAACUUGAGUGCAAGAGGGGAGAGUGGAAUUCCAUGUGUAGCGGUGAAAUGCGUAGAUAUAUGGAGGAACACCGGUGGCGAAAGCGGCUCUCUGGCUUGUAACUGACGCUGAGGCUCGAAAGCGUGGGGAGCAAACAGGAUUAGAUACCCUGGUAGUCCACGCUGUAAACGAUGAGUGCUAGGUGUUAGACCCUUUCCGGGGUUUAGUGCCGUAGCUAACGCAUUAAGCACUCCGCCUGGGGAGUACGACCGCAAGGUU